RNAcentral lists this ribosomal RNA (443 nucleotides) under uncultured bacterium. RNAcentral's name for it is "partial 16S ribosomal RNA". It matches the Rfam family "Bacterial small subunit ribosomal RNA", at positions 338 to 795 of the family's 1533-position model. The record is from RNAcentral.
CCUACGGGUGACAGCAGUGGGGAAUAUUGGGCAAUGGAGGCAACUCUGACCCAGCAACGCCGCGUGAAUGAUGAAGGUCUUCGGGUUGUAAAGUUCUAUGAUGGGGGAUGAACACACUGACGGUACCACAAUAGCAAGCCUCGGCUAACUACGGGCCAGCAGCCGCGAUAAUACGUAGGUGGAAAGCGUUCUCCGGAAUGACUGGGCGUAAAGGGUGGGUAGGGGGUUGAGUAAGUUGGCGGUGAAAUCCCGGGGCUCAACCGCGGCGCUACCGCCAAAACUAUUAGACUAGAGUGCAGGAGGGGCAAGUGGAAUUCCUAGUGUAGCGGUGGAAUGCGUAGAUAUUAGGAGGAACAUCAGUGGCGAAGGCGACUUACUGGACAGUAACUGACACUGAGGCACGAAAGCGUGGGGAGCAAACAGGAUUAGAUACCCCGGUAGUC